UAUUCCUACGGGACGCAGCAGUCGAGAAUCAUUCACAAUGGGGGAAACCAUGAUGGUGCGACGCCGCGUGGGGGAAGGAAGGUCUUCGGAUUGUAAACCCCUGUCAUGUGGAAGCAAAUUAAAAAGAUAGUACCACAAGAGGAAGAGACGGCUAACUCUGUGCCAGCAGCCGCGGUAAUACAGAGGUCUCAAGCGUUGUUCGGAAUCACUGGGCGUAAAGCGUGCGUAGGCUGUUUCGUAAGUCGUGUGUGAAAUGCGCGGG
Molecule: ribosomal RNA, 262 nt
Filed under: uncultured bacterium
Lineage: Bacteria
Description: partial 16S ribosomal RNA
Rfam family: Bacterial small subunit ribosomal RNA
Source: RNAcentral